Molecule: ribosomal RNA, 295 nt
Filed under: Atrichopogon lucorum
Lineage: Eukaryota; Metazoa; Arthropoda; Insecta; Diptera; Ceratopogonidae
Description: partial 16S ribosomal RNA
Source: RNAcentral
AGGCUUGUAUGAAUGGUUGAAUGAGAUAAAAAUUGUCUUAAUAUAAAAUAAAAUUGAAUUUUAAAUUUUAAUAAAAAUGUUAAAAUAUAAAUAAAAGACGAGAAGACCCUAUAAAUCUUUUUUUUUAAUUAAUUAUAUUUUUGCAUAAAUCAUUAAAUUUAAUUAAUUAAAAAAUUUUAUUGGGGUGAUAAUGAAAUUUAAUUAACUUUCAUAAAAUAAAUGAUAUAUAUAUAAAUAAAUAAUUGAUCCAUUAUUAAUGAUUAAUAAAAUAAGUUACUUUAGGGAUAACAGCGUA